AGCGGGAUGAGCUCAAGCUUAAAAUCUCUGUCACAAAUUUAUUUUGUGCGGCGAAUUGUAGUCUAUAGAAGCGUGGUCAGUGUAGGCGCUUGGGUUAAGUUCCUUGAAAAAGGACAGCAUCGAGGGUGAUACUCCCGUUUGUACCUGAGUGUCUUAUGCGUACGACCCGUUUUCUUUGAGUCGCGUUGUUUGAGAAUGCAGCGCAAAGUAGGUGGUAAAUUCCAUCUAAAGCUAAAUAUUGGUGCGAGACCGAUAGCGAACAAGUACCGUGAGGGAAAGAUGAAAAGAACUUUGAAAAGAGAGUUAAAGAGUACCUGAAACUGCUGAAAGGGAACCGGAUCGUUUCUAGUGUCUAUAAUCCGUGACAUAUUUCAUUGGCGGGCGUGUGCGUAUGUGUACUAUGGCAGCGGCUAAUUGGCUGCGCUUGGUGUGCGUGCUGUGUGUGCUUACUGGUGCCCUGUGUUAUGGUGGGACGUCAAGGUCAGUUCGUAUGCUGCGGGAAAUGGCUACUGAGGAGGUAGGGCUUACGCUUGCGUUUGUCUGUUAUAUCUUGGUGGUUUUGUCGUGGUUGGGACUGAGGUGUUCUACAACGUGCUCUUGAGUGGGUCUGCGUCUCCGUGUGCACCGUGUGCAGAUAGCUUGCUAUGUGUGUGUGGUUGUGUGUAGAUUGAUGCGGGCUUGAACUUGUUGCCGUUCGGGACUUUGACGAAAUAGAGCGAUUUGACCCGUCUUGAAACACGGACCAAGGAGUYUAACAUGUGUGCAAGUGUUAGGGUGUGGAAACCCCAGCGCGAAAUUAACGUAAAGGAUAGYGUAAGCUGUCUUAGGUAGGAAACGUUGCGGAUUUCGGUCUGUGGCGU
Molecule: ribosomal RNA, 860 nt
Filed under: Hyaloperonospora barbareae
Lineage: Eukaryota; Oomycota; Peronosporomycetes; Peronosporales; Peronosporaceae
Description: LSU rRNA
Rfam family: Eukaryotic large subunit ribosomal RNA
Source: RNAcentral